UUUAAACUCUGUGAAAUGGACAUGAGUGCAUUCACCCCCAUGUCAGGAUAUAUUCAGUGUAGCACAGAGGGAGGGUGUGUGUAAGCCUGAAGUAUUCUACAGGGAUGGCUGUGCUAAUCUGGGGAGUGCCUGCUCUGUUUCUAGAGCUAACUCUCUGCACCUGGUACCCCAAUCAACGCUUGUAAAACUAUCCUUCACUAUGCCAUACUUCUGCCUGCAGCAAUAUGAAUAGGAAUCAGCUUUCAGCUUCUGAUAAACCCAGCGACUCAUUGUCCAGCUUCCUGUUCCUGAUAUGCAGAACACAUGUCAGAACAACUGGAGGGAUGACAACAAUGAGAGAUGAAAAAUGGAAAAUACCUACAGAACUGAAGACCUGAAUGCACAGGUUGAACUGGACUGUGCUUAUGGCCAGCAGGCAACCUAUGUCCACAAGGGGAAUGAAUCCAGGCAGUUUUCUUUGACAUAAAAAGGAAGAAGUCUGAAUGUCUGUGGUAACUGAACUAUCCAAAUCACCUUAAUCAGUAGCCUCACUUGAGCACAGGAUAAAUGAUGCAAAACAGGCCAGAUUUAUACUUAAGGUUGAUAAUAACUAAUAAUUCAGAUUCUAGAAGUUUUAAAUAUCUAUAAAAUCAAAAGAAUUGACAAUGAGAAAAAUAUGCUUUUUUACUAAAACAUUUCCACAUAUGUUUCAUGGAUAAAUACCAGCUUAUUAUUAACUUUAGCAUAUCAAAAUAAACACGCUGAGUGAUUUUUCUCAGCCUCUGAUAAUACUGAGGUGGAAUAUAAAUAUUUCAGCAGUCCAAGCUCCCACAAAAGCAGUAGAAAAUCAUAGGCAUCUAACAUCUCACCAUUCACACUGCUUCCUGGGUAUGCUAAGGAAUUCCUUUGGCUUUUUCUUCCAAGCUGAGAUGAUGAGACUGGACAGGAAUUACUAUUACUUUAGUGGCAGAUUAAUAAGAAAUUAUGUGGAAAACAUUAAAAGCGUUUGGCAUUUAUACCAGUCUGUAAUAGUACUCAAUGGUGGUCAUUCUCUUGAAGGGGAUAAAUGCUUCAAUAAUGCUUAAUGUUCAGUUUGCAGUCAUUCUUCUGGAAUAGCAGAAACUCAAAAAUACAAUUAUGAAUCUAACUUGUCUGAUGACCGUUUAAAUUCCAUUAAUAGUGGACUUAGCUGCUGUAAGAAUUUCUUAUUCUUACUGCAAUUUUUCUGUUUUGAAACAUAUAGAAAGACUAGGUUUAAGUUAUAAACAGUACAGUAAUUCAUAUUGCUUACACCCUCUGGUUGGGGACUUGUAAUUUCAUAGUUAAUGACUUCAUUGUAAGAACAGUAAGAGAAACAGAAGAUGAUAGAAUGAUUUCAGCUUCUUUAGCCUUGAAGAGCAUUAUGAAAUAUAAAGCAAGGAAAGUUAGUGAAUCUAGUGCUGCAUAAGAAGAUUGUAAGCAUACCCCUGCCUGUGAAGCUUUCAUAUUCAGUCUUUUUGUGAUUCUAUUCUGAAAAUAGUAAGAGCUGCUACUAGAUUUUAAUUCUCAUAAGUGCCCAAUAUUUACACUCCAUAAAAACAGAAGGAGAAUAUGACUUCAAAAGAUCAUCUGUUAGUACCCCAUUUUCUGCCAUAUUUUUGACUCUGUGUCCUGAGUGCAGAAUAACUCAAUUUAGCUGAUCACUAAUUUUUGUUAAUGACACUUUUUGUUUAAGUGCCUGGAGUUGGUUACUGGUCUUAUCUGAUAAGAUAAACACAUUCUUUAAAAUGUUUUAAGAUAAUAAUUACCUCAAUUAAUAGUUAUAUUUACAAUGCCUAUCGGGCCCUGUGCACAAAUCUACCCGGAAACUAACUACAACUACCUGUGAAAGAAAUGAAUGGAAAAAGAUUAAAUACAUUAUUAAAUACAAACCUGAGGAUAUUGGUCAGUGAGGUACAUUUACACACACUCUAACAUUUUAGAUAUUUAUCUUAGCAGAUACUUUUUUAGAAAACUGUGAUGUGUACAAUGCUUCAUUGAUGAUACACUUUUGACAAUGCUGUCAUUAGUGCUGUUUUAAAACAUGGAGAAAACUGUUACAGCUAAUGACAUUGAAUUCCCCAGCCUUUUAUUUAGGAAAGAAAAUCAGUAGCCUGUGUGGAAUCUGCAUGGUAGAAAAGAGGAAAAUAAUAUUAAAAAAAAUCUGCAGUGGAAAAGUGAAAUAUUAUGAAGUCUGCUUUUUAUUUAUGAUCUAAAAGAAAUUACUCUGCCUGUUAGAUGGUUAGGUUGAUAUAAUGAUUUUUUUAGGGAGCAUAGUAUUAUUCAUGAAAUGUCUGCUAACUGGAGAACCAUUCAGGAACCUGGCUUGUAUAAGAAAGUGUUGUCAGCAGUAGCAGGACAGUGAUCGUUGGCCUGUACUUUGCUGGUGAGCAUGGUUGGUGAGGUUGCAGCUAGAGUACUGUGUUCGGUUUUGGACCCCUUGUUGAAGAAAGAAAUUGAGGUUUCUGAGCAUGUCAGGGGAAGGGCAACAAAGUUGGUGAAGGGUCUGGAGUGGCUGAGGGAGCUGGGAUUGUUCAGUCUAGAGAAGAGGGGGUUCAGGGGAGACCUCACUGUCCUCUACAACUACUUGAAAGGAAGGAGACGGUGGUGACAUUGGCUUCUUCUCCUGCAUAACUAGUGGUAGUGGUAGUGGUAGUGGUAACUAGUGGAAUGGCCUCAAGAUGUACCAGGAGAGGUUCAGAUUGGACAUCAGGAAAAAAAUUUUUCUCCAAAAGAGUGAUCAGGUGCUGGCACAGGCUGCCCAGGAAGGUGGUGGAGUCACCAUCCCGGGAGGUGCUCAAGAAACAUCUAGAUCCUCAAGGAUGGGGAGGGCUGGGAGAGGGUCCAUGCUCCAUAUUCUUGGCAAAUCACCCUCUACCACCCCCCACCUACCUUGUGUUCCCAGGUCCCCCUAAGCAAUAGGUUUGCAGCAUUGGACACUGAAGGGGGGGUAUGUGAGAAGGCACAGGAAGGCUCCCCUAAGAGGUUACAAAGGGCAAGACAGUCUACUCCACAUGCUGAGACUGUCUCUGCCAGGAAAGACAGAAGGGUGGUUGUGGUAGGUGACUCCCUUCUCAGAGGAACAGAAGGUCCCAUUUGCAGACCAGACCCAAGCCGUAGGAAAGUGUGCUGCCUUCCUGGUGCCCAGGUCAGGGACAUAACUAGAAAACUCCUGAAAAUGGUUCACUCUACCAAUUACUUCCCAUUGCUCAUAGUUCAGGUGGCCAGUGAUAAAAUCGCUCAGAGAAGCCCAUGAACUAUGAAAAGAGAUUUCAGGGGUUUAGGGUGAAUAGUUCAAUGAGCAGGAGCCAUAUGGUGUUUUGUUCUAUACCUCUGGGGCUGUAAAGGACAUGCAGUGGGCUAGGAAAACACAGGUAACGAAUAAUUGGCUCAGAGGCUGGUGUCAAGGCAGGAAUUUGGGGGUUUUUGACCAUGGGGCAGUUUAUUCAGCCCCUGGCCUGUUGUCCACGGAUGGAACUCACCUGUCUCAAAUGAGUCCUAGUGCAGGAGCUAGCAGGGCUUAUUGAGAGAGCUUUGAACUAGCUAUAUGGGGGAAGGGGACAAAACAGGGCUCACCAGAGAUGAGCCUAGGGGAACAGUGCUGAAACUGGGGGUGAGGCAGGUGUCUCAUCUGAAGUGCACCUAUGCCAAUGCAUGCAGCAUGGGCAACAAACAGGAGGAGCUGUUUAGCUGCAGGCUAACUAUGACCUAGUUGCUAUUACUGAAACAUGGUGGGACCACCCCAUGACUGGAGUGCUGUGAUGGAUGGCUACAAGCUCUUCAGAAGGGAUAGACAAGGAAGGAAGGCUAGCCGGUGAUGUGGCUCUUUAUAUUAAAGAAUGUUUUGAUGUUGAAGAGCUUGGGGUUGGGAAUGAUAAAGUUGAGUGUCUAUGGAUAAGGCCUGUAGGGGUGACAUCUUGGCAGGGGGGGGUGUGUUAUAGACCAUCUAAUCAGGAUAAAGAGAUGGAUGAGUCAUUCUAUGAGCAGCUUGUGGAAGUUGCACAAUUGCCAGCACUCGUUCUCAUAGGUAACUUCAACUUCCUUGAUAUAUGCUGGAAAUAUAAUACAGUGCAGAGGAAGCAGUCCAGGAGGCUUCUAGAGUAUGUGGAAUAUAGCUUCCUUGCAAAGCUGGUACGAGAGCCUACCAGGGUGGUGCCCUGCUAGAUCUGCUCUUCACUAACAGAGAAGGACUGGUGGGAGAUGUGAGGGUUGAGGACUGUCUUAGGCAGAGUCACCAUGAAAUUACAGAGUUCCUGUAGCAAUUGGACAGAUCAGUAUGAUGGGAAAGGUGUUACAACAAAGGUGUGAUGAUGGAAGGACUGGUCACAACACCCCCAGGCAACCCUACAGGCUUCGGGAGGAGUACCCAGAAAACUGCCUGAUGGAAAGGGACCUUAGCGUACUGAUGGACGGUCAGCUGAAGAUGAGCCAGCAGUGUUCCCACGUGGCCAAGAAGGCCACUGGCAUCCUGGCUUGUAUCAGGAACGGUAUGGUGAGCAAGACUAGGGAAGUAACCCUGCUUCUGUACUGAACACUGCUGAGGCCCCACCCUGAGUGCUGUGUUCAGUUUUGGGCACCUCAGUACAGAAAGGAAAUGGAGGUGCUGGAGCAGGUCCAAAGAAGGGCAACAAGGCUUGUGAAAGGCUUGGAGAAUAUGCCCUAUGAGGUGCGACUGAAGGAACUGGGGCUGUCUAGUCUGGGGAAGAGGAGGCUGAGGGGAGACUCUAUUGCUCUCUUUAAAUACCUGAAAGGUGAUAGCAGCAAGAGUGGGGUUGGUCUCUUCACACUGGUGACAGGAUGAGGGGAAAUGGCUUCAAGUUACGCAAGGGGAGGCUUAGGUUGGAUAUCAGGAAAAAUUUAUUUACAGAAAGGGUUGUUAAACACUGGAAUAGGCUCCCCAGGGAAGUUGUGGAGUCACCAUCCCUGGAUGUGUUUAAAAACCGUUUGGAUGUGGUACUCAGGGACAUGACUUAGCAGAGGGUUGUUAGAAUUAGGAUAGUAUGGCUAGGUUGCAGUUGGAUUUGAUUAUCUUUUAAGGCCCUUUCCAAUCUGAGUAAUUCUAUGAUAGAAAAGUGCUAUAAAGGAAGGGAAGAAGGUUGCUCACUUGUAUCGGAAGACUCUAGGUUCUCACAGGAAAGCUUCACCAAGGAGGCAUCUGUAGAAAGAGAUCCUUUCCCAGUGGCAGUCAGCCCUUAAAUGAGGUCUAAGAGAGGUGCAGCCAGGCUCCACCCCUUCUGGUUGCACGGAUGAAUUGCCUUCACCUGUGCUCCCAGGGCUGACUGGGUCCUUUCCCCACGUGCUCAAUCAGUGAUUCAGGCUGUGACUCAACAGUUCCCAUACAGUUCUUUAUUCUUGGUGAUGUCAGAAGGGUGCCUAGCAAAACAACUGUCUUGAACUUCCAGAGGGUGGACAUUGACCUGUUCAGGACACUUGUUACAGGGGUCCCUUGGGAGUUGCUCCUGAAGGGUAAAGGGGUCCAGGAAGCCUGGGUGCUCCUCAAGAUGGUAAUCUUAAAGGCACAAGAACAGGCUGUUUCUGAGUGCCAUAUGGCAAACUGUAGGGGAAGAAGGCCGUGUGGAUGAACUAGGAACUAUUGUUGAGACUCUGGGAGAAAAAGAGAGUCUACAUUCUCUGGAAGAAGGGACAGGCUACUUGGGGGAGACUACAAAGAAGUUGCUAAGAUAUGUAGGGAGGAAGCUAGAAAGGCAAAGGCCUGGCUUGAACUCAGACUGGCCACUGCCAUAAAAGAGAACAAGAAAUCCUUUAACAGAUGUAUUAAUGGUAAGAGAAGAACCAAGGAGAAUUUCCAUCCUUUACUUGAUGCAGCAGGGAAUGUGACCACUGUGGAUAAGGAGGAGGCUGAGGUCCUCAGUGCCUUCUUUACAUCUGCCUUUAAUAGUCUGAUCAGUUAUCCUCAGGGCACUUUACACCCUGACCUGGAGGUCUGGGAUGGAAUGCAGAAUACACCCCUGGUGAUUCAGGAAGAGACAGAGAGCUGUUCCUCCAUCUGGACUGUCACAAGUCCAUGGGACUGGAUAUGCUCCACCCUAGGGUGCUGAGGGAGUUGGUGAUUGCUGAGCCACCUUCCACCAUCUAUCAGUGUUCCUGGUUAUCUGGAGAGGUUCCAGAGGAUUGGAGGCUUGCCGAUUAGACUCCUAUUUAAAGGAGGGACAUAAGGAGGAUCUGGGGAACUAGAGGCCUGUCAGCCUCACCUCCGUACCAGGAAAGUUGUGGAGCAAAUCACCUUGGGUGAGAUCACAUGGCACGUGCAUAGCAUCCAGGGGAUCAGGUCCAGACAGCAUGGGUUCAUGAAAGGCAGGUCAUGCUUGACCAACCUCAUCUCCUUCUAUGACCUUGUGACCAGACUAGUAGAUGAGGGAAAGGCUGCUGAUGUAGUCUACCUAGACUUCAGCAAAGCCUUUGAUACAGUCUCUCACAGUAUUCUCCUGGGCAAACUGGCUGCCAAUGACCUGGACAGGUAUACCCUUCUUUGGGUAAGGAACUGGCUAGAGGGCCAUGCCCAGUGGGUAGUAGUUAAUGGAGUUAAGUCCAGCUGGCGACCCAUUACAAGUGGUGCCCCCCAGGGGUCAGUACUGGAGCCCAUCUUGUUUAAUAUCUUUAUUGAUGACCUAGAUGAAGGGAUUGAGUGUACCCUCUGUAAGUUUGCAAAUGACACCAAGUUGGGAGGUAGUGUCGAUCUGCCUGAGGGUAGGGAAGCCCUUCAGAGGGAUCUGGAUAGGCUGAAUCGCUGGGAUGAGGUUCAACAAGGACAAGUGCCAGGUCCUGCACUUUGGCCACAAUAACUCCAUGCAACACUAUAGGCUAGGGGCAGACUGGCUAGAUGACUGUGAAGAGGAAAGGGACCUGGGGGUGUUGAUUGAUGCUCAGCUGAGAAUGAGCCAGCAGUGUGCUCAGGUGCUCAAGAGGGCCAGUGCAAUCCUGGCCUGCAUUAGAAAUAGUGUAACCAGCAGGAGCAGAGAGGUAAUCAUCUCCCCGUACUCAGCUCUGGUGGGGCUGCAGCUAGACUACUGUGUUCAGUUUUGGGCCCCUCACUACAAGAAAGACAUUGAGGCCCUGGAACAUGUACAAUAACAUUGUACAUAGAGGAAGUGGACCUGGGGGUAUUGAUUGAUGCUAGACUGAACAUGAGCCAGCAGUGUGCCCAGGUGGCCAAGAAGGCCAAUGGCAUCCUGGCUUGUAUCAGAAAUAGUGUUGCCAGCAGGAACAGGGAAACAAUUGUUCCCCUGUACUCGGCACUGGUGAGGCUGCACCUUGAGUACUGUGUAUAGUUU
Molecule: long non-coding RNA, 7289 nt
Filed under: Gallus gallus (chicken)
Lineage: Eukaryota; Metazoa; Chordata; Aves; Galliformes; Phasianidae
Description: lncRNA (ENSGALG00010021468.1)
Source: RNAcentral